AACGCGAAGAACCUUACCAAGGCUUGACAUAUACGAGAACGGGCCAGAAAUGGUCAACUCUUUGGACACUCGUAUACAGGUGGUGCAUGGUUGUCGUCAGCUCGUGUCGUGAGAUGUUCGGUUAAGUCCGGCAACGAGCGCAACCCUCGUCCUAUGUUGCUAGCACGUUAUGGUGGGAACUCAUGGGAUACUGCCGUGGUCAACACGGAGGAAGGUGGGGAUGACGUCAAAUCAUCAUGCCCCUUAUGUCUUGGGCUUCACGCAUGCUACAAUGGCCGAUACAAAGGGCUGCGAUACCGCGAGGUGGAGCGAAUCCCAAAAAGUCGGUCUCAGUUCGGAUUGGGGUCUGCAACUCGACCCCAUGAAGUCGGAGUCGCUAGUAAUCGCAGAUCAGCAACGCUGCGGUGAAUACGUUCCCGGGUCUUGUACACACCG
RNAcentral lists this ribosomal RNA (435 nucleotides) under uncultured Leucobacter sp. RNAcentral's name for it is "bacterial SSU rRNA". It matches the Rfam family "Bacterial small subunit ribosomal RNA", at positions 958 to 1392 of the family's 1533-position model. Lineage: Bacteria; Bacillati; Actinomycetota; Actinomycetes; Micrococcales; Microbacteriaceae. The record is from RNAcentral.